AGUAAUGCUUGGGAAUCUACCUAGUAGUGGGGGAUAACGUGUGGAAACGCACGCUAAUACCGCAUACGUCCUACGGGAGAAAGCAGGGGAUCUUCGGACCUUGCGCUAUUGGAUGAGCCCAAGUCAGAUUAGCUAGUUGGUAGGGUAAAGGCCUACCAAGGCGACGAUCCGUAGCUGGUCUGAGAGGAUGAUCAGCCACACUGGGACUGAGACACGGCCCAGACUCC
RNAcentral lists this ribosomal RNA (227 nucleotides) under uncultured bacterium. Its description in RNAcentral is "partial 16S ribosomal RNA". It matches the Rfam family "Bacterial small subunit ribosomal RNA", at positions 109 to 339 of the family's 1533-position model. The record is from RNAcentral.